UACAGAGGUCCCGAGCGUUUGUUCGGAUUCACUGGGCGUAAAGGGUGCGUAGGUGGUUAGGUAAGUCCGAUGUGAAAUCUCCAGGCUCAACCUGGAAAUGGCAUUGGAUACUAUUUAGCUUGAGGAGUGGGAGGGGGGACUGGAAUUCUCGGUGUAGCAGUGAAAUGCGUAGAUAUCGAGAGGAACACCAGUGGCGAAGGCGAGUCCCUGGACACUUCCUGACACUGAGGCACGAAAGCUAGGGGAGCAAACAGG
This 255-nucleotide ribosomal RNA is filed under the name uncultured bacterium. Its description in RNAcentral is "partial 16S ribosomal RNA". It matches the Rfam family "Bacterial small subunit ribosomal RNA", at positions 524 to 776 of the family's 1533-position model. The record is from RNAcentral.